This 795-nucleotide long non-coding RNA is filed under the name Rattus norvegicus (Norway rat). RNAcentral describes it as "long non-coding RNA NONRATT015708". Lineage: Eukaryota; Metazoa; Chordata; Mammalia; Rodentia; Muridae. The record is from RNAcentral.
UCUGACAGGACGCGCACGGACUGCGCCCCGAAGUACUUCAGUAAGUCCUCCUUCUCCUCAGCCGUCAGCUCCGCCGGCAGGUGCCGGACGAGGAGGGUGCGGUCGCCUCGGGGAGGAGAGAGCGAAGCGGAACCUGGGCCUCCUCGCGACAGUGGCAUCGACGGCUCGGGCACCGCCAUCUUCCACGCAGAACCAGCCGGAGACAGUCCUUCCGCACAAGCUGCCGGCCAAACUCCGGCAGUCACGGAGCCUGAGCCGAAGUCAUUUUCCGCUUCGCGCUAAGCAUUCUGGACGUACGGAAAUCCCGCGUGAGUUGAUCUCGCGAGAGUGGCCUUCUGGAGAACAGCGCUUCUGUUCGCGGAUUGCCGCAGAGAGAGCUUUUAGAGCCGCGCUUUAAGUUUGAGGAGACGUUGUAAUAACAUAAAGACUGAAAGAGACACCAAUGUUAGAAAGCCAGAAAUCUAAUCGAGAAACGUCAGUCUUGUGAAACAAAGAGGCUGUAGCUCCAGAGACCAAGUACUGAAGGAACCUUGUAAGAUUGUUGCUCGCCGCGAUCUUAAUCCAGAUUUUCAGGAAGUGAAUCUGGCUGGUGAAAUGGAGAACUCUUGGGAAAUGUAAAGUGUGUUCCUAUCAUUUAGGAGUGGUGAAACACUAAGGUAUUCAGCAUAAGAUUAGACACUACAGGCAAGAGAACACGCCGUCAUCAGUCGGCAUAUACAGGCUGAAAGUUCUUGGCACUAUUUAUUAAACAGAAUUGGCUACUUCGUGAAUAAAUACCUAAAAAUGUGUAGGCAU